This 514-nucleotide long non-coding RNA is filed under the name Ailuropoda melanoleuca (giant panda). Its description in RNAcentral is "lncRNA (ENSAMEG00000029417.1)". Lineage: Eukaryota; Metazoa; Chordata; Mammalia; Carnivora; Ursidae. The record is from RNAcentral.
GUCCAUGGACUUUUGAUGCAAAGCCAGAACAGGUAGAGCCUGAAGGAAUGUUGACCAAAUGUCUGUCCCUGGUGUGGAGAGUGAAAACACUCAGACUGAAGCCAUUGUUUUGACAUUGAUGUAAGAAGAGGAGCCCCAUCUGUGUGGGCAGGUGGCCCUCUCAUGCUCGUCCUACCUACCCACCUCAACAGGAUUUGGGUCUUCAUCCAGAAUGUGUUCUUCGAGAACAGUAACUCCCACAGGCAAAGCAGCAUCUGGCCGUGUGGGUGAUCUAUUCUCCAGCCUCUCAAAGUUGUGUAGGGGAGGCAGAGGGAGAGGAAGAGAGAGAGAGACUAUCCAGCAGACUCCCUGCUGAGCAAGAAGCCCACCCUUGGGCUUCAUCCCAUGACCCUGAGAUCAUGACUGAACCAAAGUCAAGAGCCGGACCCUCAACCGACUGAGCCACCCAGGCGCCCCUGAAGGAAAACAGUUCUGAUAUGCACAGUUGAGUUUGAAGCUAGUUUUUCUGGAUUUG